This 406-nucleotide ribosomal RNA is filed under the name uncultured bacterium. RNAcentral's name for it is "partial 16S ribosomal RNA". It matches the Rfam family "Bacterial small subunit ribosomal RNA", at positions 29 to 526 of the family's 1533-position model. The record is from RNAcentral.
AUUGAACGCUGGCGGCAGGCCUAACACAUGCAAGUCGAGCGAGCGGCGGACGGGUGUGUAAUGUCUGGGAAACUGCCUGAUGGAGGGGGAUAACUACUGGAAACGGUAGCUAAUACCGCAUACCAUCAGAUGGGCCCCCAUGGGAUUAGCUAGUAGGUGGGGUAACGGCCCACCUAGGCGACGAUCCCUAGCGGGUCUGAGAGGAUGACCAGCCACACUGGAACGGAGACACGGUCCAGACUCCUACGGGAGGCAGCAGUGGGGAAUAUUGCACAAGGGGCGCAAGCCGGAUGCAGCCAUGCCGCGUGUGUGAAGAAGGCCUUCGGGUUGUAAAGCACUUUCGGCGGGGAGGCGUUACCCGCAGAAGAAGCACCGGCUAACUCCUUGCCAGCAGCCGCGGUAAUUC